UUUGGAGCGGAUGCCAGCAAAACAAUGGAUUAUUUACCAAGAGAUAUUAAUGUAUGGAGUCAUGUCGAGAAAACAGUUCUGCUAAUAAACGGACAAAAUCUUUUAAAUCUUUGAUCGAAGCAUUGGUAUGUGGAUCUCGAGUGUUUACACUGCACUAAACCUUGACGAGCAACACUCCGAUCUGCAAACAAAGAGCUGAGGAAGAGAAAGAACACGAGAAAGAACAGUAAUCAAGAGAAGUGUUAUCAUCACUGAAGAAAUGGCAGAUUGUAAUCCCCAGACACCGAGCAGGUCAAGCCCUGAAGAAAUAACACCAUGGACAUCAUCUUCUGACUGAACUAGCAAGGAGCUGUUGGAGUCAAUAAGAAAGCUGUUGGAAUGUAAACCUACCUGAGUAAACUCCACUACUUUAAUGAUAAUUUCUAAGUUUACUGAGCGACGUAAACUGCUGUCAUCCACAUCACAUCAUUGCUCUAACCAACGUUACCUGAAGAAUCCUUUCAGCGUGGCAGAUAUUUGCAAACGUCUGGAGCCAACUUAAAAUGCUGAACUGGAUACUUACUGAAGAAUGAGCUUCAACACUUAAGGUUUGUACAAAGUUACACCAUAUUACUGAAAACGGCACGCAUCAACAAGAUUUCAGAGACUCUGCGUGACAUUUUAAAUGUUUAUGAUCUUCAGGGUGUGCAUGAUGUCAACAUGAAACGCACCGUAGCCCUCCGUGCUCCUCAGUGUACCUGUGAGGAGGACCUACAAUUCUUCAAGACUUGAAAUGAGGUGUUGGGAGAGCCAGACAUCACUGAUUCUGUCAUUGUGGUCAACGAAACGAAAGCACAAGUCCUUCAAGCACUGCAGUUGUGAUAGAAGAUGAUCUUCAGUUUUAUAAUAAAAGACUAAUCUUCAAAAAAAUCUUCAAUUGUACAGCUGUAGGUUUAUUUAUUUAUUUAUUUAUUUAUUUAUUUUUUAGGUUUUGUUGUUGUUUUUUUGUCUUUUGAGUUAGUAUUUUUAUGUAAUGAUGUCCUGCAGAGGUGCCUGAUCCUGUUCCUGGAGAUCUUCCUGCCUGCAGAGUUCAGCUAAGUUAUUCAGCUCAUUAUUUUGCUAAGUACAACAGCAAAAC
This is a long non-coding RNA of Megalobrama amblycephala (Wuchang bream), 1117 nucleotides long. RefSeq lists it as uncharacterized. The record is from RefSeq and is a predicted model, not a curated record. The transcript has 8 exons. NCBI's taxonomy places the organism in Eukaryota, Metazoa, Chordata, Actinopteri, Cypriniformes, Xenocyprididae.